Molecule: ribosomal RNA, 497 nt
Filed under: uncultured bacterium
Lineage: Bacteria
Description: partial 16S ribosomal RNA
Rfam family: Bacterial small subunit ribosomal RNA
Source: RNAcentral
GAUGAACGCUGGCGGCGUGCCUAAUACAUGCAAGUCGAGCGAACGGACGAGAAGCUUGCUUUUCUGAUGUUAGCGGCGGACGGGUGAGUAACACGUGGAUAACCUACCUAUAAGACUGGGAUAACUUCGGGAAACCGGAGCUAAUACCUGAUAAUAUUUUGAACCGCAUGGUUCAAAAGUGAAAGACGGUCUUGCUGUCACUUAUAGAUGGAUCCGCGCUGCAUUAGCUAGUUGGUAAGGUAACGGCUUACCAAGGCAACGAUGCAUAGCCGACCUGAGAGGGUGAUCGGCCACACUGGAACUGAGACACGGUCCAGACUCCUACGGGAGGCAGCAGUAGGGAAUCUUCCGCAAUGGGCGAAAGCCUGACGGAGCAACGCCGCGUGAGUGAUGAAGGUCUUCGGAUCGUAAAACUCUGUUAUUAGGGAAGAACAUAUGUGUAAGUAACUGUGCACAUCUUGACGGUACCUAAUCAGAAAGCCACGGCUAACUACGUG